AUUGAACGCUGGUGGCAGGCCUAACACAUGCAAGUCGAACGGUAACAGGAAGAAGCUUGCUUCUUUGCUGACGAGUGGCGGACGGGUGAGUAAUGUCUGGGAAACUGCCUGAUGGAGGGGGAUAACUACUGGAAACGGUAGCUAAUACCGCAUAACGUCGCAAGACCAAAGAGGGGGACCUUCGGGCCUCUUGCCAUCGGAUGUGCCCAGAUGGGAUUAGCUAGUAGGUGGGGUAACGGCUCACCUAGGCGACGAUCCCUAGCUGGUCUGAGAGGAUGACCAGCCACACUGGAACUGAGACACGGUCCAGACUCCUACGGGAGGCAGCAGUGGGGAAUAUUGCACAAUGGGCGCAAGCCUGAUGCAGCCAUGCCGCGUGUAUGAAGAAGGCAUUCGGGUUGUAAAGUACUUUCAGCGGGGAGGAAGGGAGUAAAGUUAAUACCUUUGCUCAUUGACGGUACCCGCAGAAGAAGCACCGGCUAACUCCGUG
RNAcentral lists this ribosomal RNA (490 nucleotides) under uncultured bacterium. RNAcentral's name for it is "partial 16S ribosomal RNA". It matches the Rfam family "Bacterial small subunit ribosomal RNA", at positions 30 to 507 of the family's 1533-position model. The record is from RNAcentral.